Molecule: transfer RNA, 64 nt
Filed under: Sternochetus mangiferae
Lineage: Eukaryota; Metazoa; Arthropoda; Insecta; Coleoptera; Curculionidae
Description: tRNA-Ile
Source: RNAcentral
UUUUAUGGAUCCAGUAAAACUUAUAUGAAAUGUUGAAAUUUGAUAACAAUUUUUAGGGUAAAAU